Molecule: ribosomal RNA, 351 nt
Filed under: uncultured Coriobacteriales bacterium
Lineage: Bacteria; Bacillati; Actinomycetota; Coriobacteriia; Coriobacteriales
Description: bacterial SSU rRNA
Rfam family: Bacterial small subunit ribosomal RNA
Source: RNAcentral
AGUAGUUUGAUCCUGGCUCAGGACGAACGCUGGCGGCGUGCCUAACACAUGCAAGUCGAGCGGACUUGUUACUGGAAAGUGCUUGCACCGGAAGGUAACAAGUUAGCGGCGGACGGGUGAGUAACGCGUGAGCAACCUGUCCUCUACAGGGGGAUAAGAUCUCGAAAGGGAUUCUAAUACCGCAUGAGACCACGGUAAGGCAUCUUACAGGGGUCAAAGGAGCAAUCCGGUAGAGGGUGGGCUCGCGUCCGAUUAGAUAGUUGGUGGGGUAACGGCCUACCAAGUCGACGAUCGGUAGCCGACCUAAGAGGGUGAUCGGCCACAUUGGGACUGAGACACGGCCCAGACUCC